RNAcentral lists this ribosomal RNA (497 nucleotides) under uncultured bacterium. Its description in RNAcentral is "partial 16S ribosomal RNA". It matches the Rfam family "Bacterial small subunit ribosomal RNA", at positions 28 to 507 of the family's 1533-position model. The record is from RNAcentral.
GAUGAACGCUGGCGGCGUGCCUAAUACAUGCAAGUCGAGCGAACAGACGAGGAGCUUGCUUCUCUGAUGUUAGCGGCGGACGGGUGAGUAACACGUGGAUAACCUACCUAUAAGACUGGGAUAACUUCGGGAAACCGGAGCUAAUACCGGAUAAUAUAUUGAACCGCAUGGUUCAAUAGUGAAAGACGGUCUUGCUGUCACUUAUAGAUGGAUCCGCGCCGCAUUAGCUAGUUGGUAAGGUAACGGCUUACCAAGGCGACGAUGCGUAGCCGACCUGAGAGGGUGAUCGGCCACACUGGAACUGAGACACGGUCCAGACUCCUACGGGAGGCAGCAGUAGGGAAUCUUCCGCAAAGGGCGAAAGCCUGACGGAGCAACGCCGCGUGAGUGAUGAAGGUCUUCGGAUCGUAAAACUCUGUUAUUAGGGAAGAACAAAUGUGUAAGUAACUAUGCACGUCUUGACGGUACCUAAUCAGAAAGCCACGGCUAACUACGUG